UACAUGAGCGACAAGCAUUAUCCGUAAUUAUUGGGUGUAGGGGAUGCGUAGAUGGUUUAUAAAGUUUAUAUUAACUAAAAAAGUAUUUUUGGAUUUUAUGAAAACUAUAAACUUGAGUUUUAUAGGAGUGAUUAUAAUCUAUAAACGAGCGAUAAAAUGCGAAAAAUUUAUAGUUUAUACCAUUGGUGAAAACAAUUUACUAUAUAAAACUGACGUUGAGGCAUGAAAGUAUAGCGAUCGAACAGG
Molecule: ribosomal RNA, 246 nt
Filed under: uncultured bacterium
Lineage: Bacteria
Description: partial 16S ribosomal RNA
Rfam family: Bacterial small subunit ribosomal RNA
Source: RNAcentral